UACGUAGGGUGCAAGCGUUAUCCGGAUUUACUGGGUGUAAAGGGAGCGUAGACGGAUUAGCAAGUCAGAUGUGAAAGGCGGGGGCUUAACCCCUGGAUUGCAUUUGAAACUGCGGAUCUUGAGUACCGGAAGGGCAGAUGGAAUUCCUGGUGUAGCGGUGAAAUGCGUAGAGAUCAGGAGGAACACCGGUGGCGAAAGCGGUCUGCUGGACGGUAACUGACGUUGAGGCGCGAAGGCGUGGGGAGCAAACAGG
Molecule: ribosomal RNA, 253 nt
Filed under: uncultured prokaryote
Description: partial 16S ribosomal RNA
Rfam family: Bacterial small subunit ribosomal RNA
Source: RNAcentral